Molecule: transfer RNA, 76 nt
Filed under: Acidobacteriota bacterium
Lineage: Bacteria; Pseudomonadati; Acidobacteriota
Also listed under: 6 other names
Description: tRNA-Thr
Rfam family: tRNA
About the family: Transfer RNA (tRNA) molecules are approximately 80 nucleotides in length. Their secondary structure includes four short double-helical elements and three loops (D, anti-codon, and T loops).
Source: RNAcentral
GCCACCCUAGCUCAGCUGGCAGAGCGGCUGAUUCGUAAUCAGCAGGUCGCCGGUUCGAUCCCGGCGGGUGGCUCCA